RNAcentral lists this non-coding RNA (21 nucleotides) under Caenorhabditis elegans. The record is from RNAcentral. Lineage: Eukaryota; Metazoa; Nematoda; Chromadorea; Rhabditida; Rhabditidae.
UGUGUUCUUUGGAAGCUUUUU